UAUUUUUAAAAUGUUGCCGACAUUCUGAGAGUAUGAAUCCAGCCGGCAAAUCCAUCAGAUUCAAAUAAUUUACGGAAUUGAAUAAUUAACUUACCAACCGAUUUUUUUUCUCUUUACAAAAUGAUGUCGGAAACAAUUAUUUUUGUUCUGAUUAUCGUAUGUUUGGUAUCUGUUACUCACCAGACAUGUGAUGGCCAAUGGUGUCACCCCAUCAUGGGCUAUAGAUGCUGUGAAGACUAUGCCUGUGGACUCGGUCCGUUGUGGGAAAGCAAUUGUGUGUAUUUACCCUGGUAACUUUAAGGAUAAUUGUGGCAUCAAUAAUAUUUAAUGUCAAUUUAAUAUCAGCUAUUAUCAAUUUUAGCUUGACAAGAAAAAAAUAAAUCUUGAUAUUUUAAAAAACAACUUCUAUUGUAUAAUAUUUUUAAAAACCCUUUUGCUCAACUAGUCAUUAAAUUUAAACCGUUAUAAUUAAAUUAUUCAUUCGAAUGAUGAAUCAAUAAAUGAGUUUAAAAAAAUCAAUCCACUGAGCGCAAAUGACGAGUAUUCAUAAAAAUUAUUCUCACUUACAUCCAAAUAACAUUACAGUCGUUAUUUAAAAAAUCAGUUGUAGAUUCGGAGUGGUUAGGAAGUAUUUUUUAAGCAGAGUGUUUAAGUUUAGUCAUGUAAUUUCCGUGACCUUGCAACCUAUCCGAGUCGCAAAAAUCCCGAGAGCUACAUAUUUAUAAAUUUUAUCAGCGUCUAAGUACACUGAUAAAGAUGUCAUAUAUUUUUUAAAUGUUUCCGAUAUUCCGAGAGUAUAAAUCCAGAUGGCAAAUCCAUCAGAUUCAAAUAAUUUACGGAAUUGAAUAAUUAACUUACCAACCGAAUUUUUUUUUUCUUUACAAAAUGAUGUCGAAAACAAUUAUUUUUGUUCUGAUUAUCGUAUGUUUGGUAUCCGUUACUCACCAGACAUGUGAUGGCCAAUGGUGUCACCCUAUCAUGGGAUAUAGAUGCUGUGAAGACUAUGCCUGUGGAAGCGGUUGGUUUUUUCAAGGCAAUUGUAUGUAUUCACCCUGGGAACUUUAAGGAUAAUUAUGGCAUCAAUAAUAAUUGAUGGCAGUAUCAGCCAUUAUCAAUUUUAGCUCGACAAGAUGAAAAUCGAUCCUCGUAUUAUAAAAAACUAAUUCUAAUGUAAAAUAUUUUAAAAUACUUUUACUGAAUUUGUCAUUGAUAAUAAAUUAUAAUAAUUAAAAUAUUAAUUUGAAUAAUAAAUAAAUGAACUUGCACCCAAAUUACAUUACAAAC
Long non-coding RNA from Microplitis mediator, 1284 nucleotides. RefSeq lists it as uncharacterized. The transcript has 3 exons. Lineage: Eukaryota; Metazoa; Arthropoda; Insecta; Hymenoptera; Braconidae. The record is from RefSeq and is a predicted model, not a curated record.